GCUCUGAGGAGGGCCGGGAGAGUGGGAGGGGACAAGUCGGAGCUACAGGAGAGGGUUGUGUUGAACACAGCGAGGGAUUGGAUAGGGAGGCGGAGCAGGAGAUUGACCAAUAGGAGCUGUCAAGGACGGAUGUCUCCCACUGGUCAAUGUUUUUGCAGCCCUGCACCUGCUAGGGUGAACGGAUUUUUUCCAAUUUUUUUUCUCUUCACUUUGUGGAGAUCGCACUACAGGACCAUGAUCGCCAUAGAAACAAAGUUCAUAAUAAUUACCAAUUCCUCCAAUCGUCAACCAUUCAAAGGGACAUUAGAGUGUUUCAGAAGUGAAGUCACAUUAAGUGAACAGGUCUGUCAGCUCGGCCUCUCUCAUGAGAAACUGUCAGGGGACUUUGCAUACAGUUUUCUGCAGGAGUGAAUUCACUCAGGAGAAAGAUGACUCAUGAGAGUUUAACCUGUUGCCUUUCUCUCUGCCAGCAGCUUUCCCGUCAUGGUUAGCAUUGUAAAAUCAAUCUAUAACAGACAAUCAGAGUGCUGGAGUUCAGCAUGAGACCAUUGGUUUCACCGCCCACCAGGUUUCUGCAGCUCAGAGCUUCCAACAAGAUGGAAGUUACAUUCACCGCAGCCAACCUCUGCAUAACUGAAGGAUUAAAAGCAAUAACUCCACCUAAAGUGAUGCAGGGUGGAGGAGACGCAGUUAGAUAUGAGCUAAAUCAAGUCUGGAAUGUAUAGGUUGAGAAUAGGAGGGAAACAGAAAAGUGUGAAGUCGAUGGGAACUACAGAAGGCAGGGACAAGAAGAGCAUCUGCUACUUUAUCGCUCUUCACAGGAAGGCAUCACAUUACCGCCAAAUUUAAUCUAAUCUCCACAAAACUGCGACAUAUCCAUUCGGAUCCUGCUUCCCAGAAGAGCUGAGGGGCACAACAGGCUUUUUUAUCUCCGCAAAGAAGAACGUUGUUCCAUUAAUCUCCUCCUCUGGCAGCCCUCAGCAUCAGAUCAGAGCCUGUGAUCACGCCGCCUGCUGAGCGAACAGAGCGCUUCCUCGUAGCAGGAGGAGGAGGAUCUUUGCAGAGAUGAAAGCUGAGACGGUCUGAUGUUGCAGAAUUACGUGUUUUGAUGGACCCAGACAAACAUCAGGAAGUUGUCAGCUUCCACACUCACAUACCUCCCCAGUAACUCCAGUAACUGUGAAGCUCUACGCUCUGUGCAGCUAAAAGUGGAGAUGCCGACACCUCAUCUCGACAAUUAGAUGCCAAAAAAGAAUAACAUGUGUGGCGCUGCAGAACUUCAUGAGCCAGGACUGUUUUUCGCUUACUCUCAAGGAUUCCCAAAGUAACAAGGGAAUAAGACUAAAUAUUUUAAAUGCUAGUAGCACCAUCUGUCAAUCACUUGUCCUCCCAUCAGCUCCAUCUCAAAGUCUGGUUCACAAUGUCCUAAAGAUCUCGAAUAGUUUUGGAGCAACUCUGAUAAAGGGAAAGGCAAAGGGACACUUCAGAUUCAGAUUCAGAUUCCUUUAGUAACCAUUGUGUAAUACACAUCGGAAUUUUCUUCGACCAUUACAUGAGUGUGUUUCGGACCUUUUUCCCAACAUAAAUACCAACAACACAAACAACACCGUGCAAGAAGAUAGGUAAAUAUAAAGUGCAUUAAUGUCAGUGUCCCUAGGGGCCGGGAAGAGGUGGGAAGCCAGACUCAGUGAACAGCCUGGCAGCAGGGAAAAAACUGAGUGCUAUGGCGUGCUGUGGUGGCCCUCAGCAGACGCAUCCUUCUCCCAGAGGGGAGCAGGGAGUGGAGACUGUGGCCAGGGUGGGAGGGGUCAGCCAUGAUUUUUCUUGGCCUCCUCAUCGCCCUGGAAUCAUGCAGAGACUUGAGGGUGGGCAGGGGACGGCCAAUCACCCUCUCAGCAGAAUGAAUCACCCGCUGAAGCUUGAUGAGGUCUUUUGCAGCUGCAGCGGGGAACCAGGUGAUGAUGGAGUGCGUGAAGAUGGACUCAGUGAUGGCCGUGUAGAGCUGAGUCAUCAUGGUCCUUGACAGUCUUUACUUCCUCAGCUGCUGGAGGAAGAACAACCCCUGCUGAGUCUUUCUCAGAAGAGCCAUGAUGUUCAUUUCCCACUUCAGCUCCUGGGAGAUGAUAAUGCCCAGGAACUUAAAGGACUCCACCGAGUUCACCAGGGUGCCUCCUAGCAUGAUGGGAGGGGGAGGGGCUGUGUUCUUCUGAAAAUCCACCAUCUCCACUGUCUUUUGGGCAUUAAGCUCCAGGUUGUUGCUGCUGCACCAACUGUGCAGCUGCUCAAACUCCUUCCUGUAAGUCGACUCGUCCCCCUUGGAGAUGAAGCCCAUCAAGGUGGUGUCGUUGGCAAACUUGAGGAGCUUCGUACCUGCUUUCAUAUUCACAAGUUUACAUAUUAAAUCGGCGAUGCAGGGACAUCAAACUGUGUAACUUCAUGGCUGUGAGCUUGGCUUUUUGUGCAUCUCAGUAAGGUUUUUUCUUUAUUGAAAUCACAAUCCUUUUUUAAAAUGUUUGCACAGUGAGAUUAAACUCUUUUUUGAGCUGGACUGUCUUUUUGGCUCAUUCAUGCAGGUUUUGUGGGCGCAAUCGCUGCAGAAUCUCUUCGUGAACCAGACCCCAGAGUUGCAGAUGUAAGAAAUGUUCAGAUCGAAGGAUGGAUAUGAACUCUGGGGACAUUUACUGUCACACAUCUCCACUCCUGUUCUUCUCUGGAGCUGAUAUGUGAGAAAUUGUUCUUCUCUGUAAAUUACGGUGUCAGUAAGUCUCACACAAAGUGCCUGUCAGAGCACGGUGUGUCAUUUGAAACAACCUUUCUACCGCAACUUCGGUGUCGUCAGAAACGGCGACGAGAGAUCUUUUUGUAGCUUUUCCAAACAGAAAAUCAAAGCUGUAGCUCUUAGUGUGGUGGGAUGAGUGAGAGACUGUAGGUUAUCCCCGUUUCUAAUGAUGCUCUCGACAAGAAGACGCUUUUUGUCUGCUCUGUCUGAAAAUCACUGCUGUCUUCAGACAGGUUCUCCACUAAUGGUCGGACUGAAAUGCCGUUUAGCGUCACUCACUUCAGCCCGACUGUGGAUGUGUCGAUAGUUCUUUAGGAGCGGCGUGGGUACUUUGUUUGUCUUAAGAAAGAGACUUUCUAUUCCACCAAACUGAAAACGUCUGUAAGCGGUCAGACGUGCUGCUGGAGGAUUUCAAUGGAAGGUCAUGUGCUGCUUAAACGCCAUAUAAAGAGGACUCUCAGUGUUGAUGAUGUGGUGAAUCCAAAUGAUCAAAACCAGCGUGGUGAUACUGAGGGAUGAUAAUCGGACCAUCCAGAACUGCAACAGAAGACAUCACGAUAUCAGGAUGUUUUACCAGAUUUACACUGAGCCAAACCUCUCUACCGGAGAUUUCACCAACUUGUUGACAAGUCCUUAGCAACAGACAACUAGUCACUGACCAGGGAUGGGGAUCGGUCAUUCUUAUUGAUACUGAUACCAUUUCUCACGACUCCUUAAGGAUUAAAAUCCUAAUUGAUUCUGUUCUCCAGUCCUUUUGAAGAAAUGUUGCCUCACGCGUUUGCAUUUAUACAGAUUUAAUUAUCGUUUUAUUGAUUUUAUCAUCAAAGUACAAAGUUGCUCUAAGAGACCCUUGAAACCCGAUAGCAGACCUGAUAAGUUUGCGGGUUUGAAUCGGGUAUUAAAUUGACCCUAUUCCUAUCGCUGACCCCAAAUUUCCACCACA
This is a non-coding RNA of Xyrichtys novacula (pearly razorfish), 3722 nucleotides long. The record is from the annotation of a GenBank genome assembly. Lineage: Eukaryota; Metazoa; Chordata; Actinopteri; Labriformes; Labridae.